RNAcentral lists this transfer RNA (88 nucleotides) under Pseudomonadota bacterium. Its description in RNAcentral is "tRNA-Leu". It matches the Rfam family "tRNA". From Rfam's summary of the family: Transfer RNA (tRNA) molecules are approximately 80 nucleotides in length. Their secondary structure includes four short double-helical elements and three loops (D, anti-codon, and T loops). Lineage: Bacteria; Pseudomonadati; Pseudomonadota. RNAcentral also lists the same sequence under 1 other name. The record is from RNAcentral.
GCGGGCGUAGCCAAACUGGUAGAGGCGCCAGACUUAGGAUCUGGUCGGCGUUGAGCCGGUGGGGGUUCGAGUCCCUCCGCCCGCACCA